RNAcentral lists this ribosomal RNA (385 nucleotides) under uncultured bacterium. Its description in RNAcentral is "bacterial SSU rRNA". It matches the Rfam family "Bacterial small subunit ribosomal RNA", at positions 28 to 414 of the family's 1533-position model. The record is from RNAcentral.
GACGAACGCUGGCGGCGCGCUUAACACAUGCAAGUCGAGCGGUAAGGCCCUUUCGGGGGUACACGAGCGGCGAACGGGUGAGUAACACGUGGGCGACCUGCCCUCAGCUCUGGGAUAAGCCUGGGAAACUGGGUCUAAUACCGGAUAUGACUCCAUGACGCAUGUUGUGGGGUGGAAAGCCUUGUGCGGCUGAGGAUGGGCCCGCGGCCUAUCAGCUUGUUGGUGGGGUGANGGCCUACCAAGGCGACGACGGGUAGCCGGCCUGAGAGGGCGACCGGCCACACUGGGACUGAGACACGGCCCAGACUCCUACGGGAGGCAGCAGUGGGGAAUCUUGCGCAAUGGGCGAAAGCCUGACGCAGCGACGCCGCGUGAGGGAUGACGG